GAUGAACGCUGGCGGCGUGCUUAACACAUGCAAGUCGAACGAACGGAGGAGAGCUUGCUCUCCAAAGUUAGUGGCGGACGGGUGAGUAACGCGUGGGUAACCUGCCCUAUGCAGGGGGAUAACGUUUGGAAACGAACGCUAAUACCGCAUAAACUAUCGGUAGUCGCAUGACUACUAUAGCAAAGAUUUCAAGUCAAACUUGACUUUGGCAUAGGAUGGACCCGCGUUGGAUUAGCUAGUUGGUGAGAUAACAGCCCACCAAGGCGACGAUCCAUAGCCGGCCUGAGAGGGUGAACGGCCACAUUGGGACUGAGACACGGCCCAAACUCCUACGGGAGGCAGCAGUGGGGAAUAUUGCACAAUGGGCGAAAGCCUGAUGCAGCAACGCCGCGUGAAGGAAGAAGGCCCUCGGGUUGUAAACUCUUUUAGCAGGGACGAAGGACGUGACGGUACCUGCAGAAAAGCAACGGCUAACUACGUG
Molecule: ribosomal RNA, 481 nt
Filed under: uncultured bacterium
Lineage: Bacteria
Description: bacterial SSU rRNA
Rfam family: Bacterial small subunit ribosomal RNA
Source: RNAcentral